GCCUCGGUAGCUCAAUUGGCUAGAGCGUGGGACUUUUACAAAAACCUGGAAAAUUGGAAAUAAUUCAUUCUCCUAGAUUCUAAGUAAUCCCAAGGUUGCGGGUUCGACCCCCGCCUGAGGCG
Molecule: non-coding RNA, 122 nt
Organism: Daldinia caldariorum
Lineage: Eukaryota; Fungi; Ascomycota; Sordariomycetes; Xylariales; Hypoxylaceae
Source: the annotation of a RefSeq genome assembly